UGCAAGUCGAGCGGUAGAGAGAAGCUUGCUUCUCUUGAGAGCGGCGGACGGGUGAGUAAAGCCUAGGAAUCUGCCUGGUAGUGGGGGAUAACGUUCGGAAACGGACGCUAAUACCGCAUACGUCCUACGGGAGAAAGCAGGGGACCUUCGGGCCUUGCGCUAUCAGAUGAGCCUAGGUCGGAUUAGCUAGUUGGUGAGGUAAUGGCUCACCAAGGCGACGAUCCGUAACUGGUCUGAGAGGAUGAUCAGUCACACUGGAACUGAGACACGGUCCAGACUCCUACGGGAGGCAGCAGUGGGGAAUAUUGGACAAUGGGCGAAAGCCUGAUCCAGCCAUGCCGCGUGUGUGAAGAAGGUCUUCGGAUUGUAAAGCACUUUAAGUUGGGAGGAAGGGCAUUAACCUAAUACGUUAGUGUUUUGACGUUACCGACAGAAUAAGCACCGGCUAACUCUGUGCCAGCAGCCGCGGUAAUACAGAGGGUGCAAGCGUUAAUCGGAAUUACUGGGCGUAAAGCGCGCGUAGGUGGUUUGUUAAGUUGGAUGUGAAAUCCCCGGGCUCAACCUGGGAACUGCAUUCAAAACUGACUGACUAGAGUAUGGUAGAAGGUGGUGGAAUUUCCUGUGUAGCGGUGAAAUGCGUAGAUAUAGGAAGGAACACCAGUGGCGAAAGCGACCACCUGGACUAAUACUGACACUGAAGUGCCAAAGCGUGGGGAGCAAACAGGAUUAGAUACCCUGGUAGUCCACGCCGUAAACGAUGUCAACUAGCCGUUGGGAGCCUUGAGCUCUUAGUGGCGCAGCUAACGCAUUAAGUUGACCGCCUGGGGAGUACGGCCGCAAGGUUAAACUCAAAUGAAUUGACGGGGGCCCGCACAAGCGGUGGAGCAUGUGGUUUAAUUCGAAGCAACGCGAAGAACCUUACCAGGCCUUGACAUCCAAUGAACUUUCUAAAGAUAGAUUGGUGCCUUCGGGAA
Molecule: ribosomal RNA, 974 nt
Filed under: Pseudomonas sp.
Lineage: Bacteria; Pseudomonadati; Pseudomonadota; Gammaproteobacteria; Pseudomonadales; Pseudomonadaceae
Description: bacterial SSU rRNA
Rfam family: Bacterial small subunit ribosomal RNA
Source: RNAcentral